This 451-nucleotide ribosomal RNA is filed under the name uncultured bacterium. RNAcentral's name for it is "bacterial SSU rRNA". It matches the Rfam family "Bacterial small subunit ribosomal RNA", at positions 29 to 524 of the family's 1533-position model. The record is from RNAcentral.
AACGAACGCUGGCGGCAUGCCUAACACAUGCAAGUCGAACGAGACCUUCGGGUCUAGUGGCGCACGGGUGCGUAACGCGUGGGAAUCUGCCCUUUGCUUCGGAAUAACAGUUAGAAAUGACUGCUAAUACCGGAUGAUGUCUUCGGACCAAAGAUUUAUCGGCAAAGGAUGAGCCCGCGUAGGAUUAGGUAGUUGGUGGGGUAAAGGCCUACCAAGCCGACGAUCCUUAGCUGGUCUGAGAGGAUGAUCAGCCACACUGGGACUGAGACACGGCCCAGACUCCUACGGGAGGCAGCAGUGGGGAAUAUUGGACAAUGGGCGCAAGCCUGAUCCAGCAAUGCCGCGUGAGUGAUGAAGGCCUUCGGGUCGUAAAGCUCUUUUACCAGGGAUGAUAAUGACAGUACCUGGAGAAUAAGACUCCGGCUAACUCCGUGCCAGCAGCCGCGGUAAU